RNAcentral lists this long non-coding RNA (2878 nucleotides) under Mus musculus (house mouse). RNAcentral's name for it is "predicted gene 10435". Lineage: Eukaryota; Metazoa; Chordata; Mammalia; Rodentia; Muridae. The record is from RNAcentral.
GAUCUGGGGAGUGGCCAGCAGUGUACUUGGUCUCCACUGAGGGGUGAGCUCGGAAGAGGUGAUGGGGCAGGGUCUGCUUACCUGAGGUAGGAGAUGACGCCCAUGGCCCUGCAAGAAUGAAAACACCCCAUUUGUGAGUUACACCAGGCCUGUCCCACAGGCAAGGGGUAUGCAUGGGGGUGGGGUUGGGGGUGGGGGGGCUGGAAGAGGAGGCAGAGGCUCCUCAGCUGCCAGACAGACACACGAAGGACAGGGCGACUCCAGAUCAACAGCCCUCUAGGUGGGCCAUCCACUCACCAGAUGUCUGAGCCCUCGCUCACAGGAUUCUGCUCAAUGAUCUCUGGGGACACGAAUUCGGGUGAGCCAUACUUGCUGUACUGUGGCUCUGAAGGGGUGAUCUUUUGGGCAAAGCCAAAGUCACAGAUCUUGAUGUCUUCCCGAGCUGGGUGCACCAUCAGGAUGUUGGGGGGCUGUCAGACAGAGUUGAGAAGUUGUUCAAGGCUACACUUCAUGAAAAAGGUAACUCCUACCCUCUGGGCCUAGGAGAGCACUGAAGAGUCCUUGAGGCUAGUAAAGGGCAGUGGGGAGUCCCCAGGACCGAGAGGGGAAUCACAUCUACUCCAUGAGAGCCAAACCCUACCCGAGGUAGUAGAAACCAAGCACAGGCUGGCUCCCAGCUGUGCCCACCACGAGUUCUGGGGAUGCCGUGAAUGCAAUACCUUUAUGUCCAGGUGGAGGAUACCAUGGCUGUGCAAAUAGUGUAGGCCUUCCACCAGCUGCUGGAUAUAGACUUUGACCUGUGGAAAAUGCCAGGAUCAGUUUGGAACCAGCCCCCAAGAGGCUGGCUCAGGAACCUCCUGAAGGCUGACCCAGGUGAGGAGCCAGCCUCAGGUACCUCCUGAAGACCUGGUCCAAAUGAGGGGCCAGCCUCAGAAAACUCAUGAAGGCCUGACCCAGGUGAGGGGCAAGCAUCAGGUACCUCCUGAAGGCCUGACCCGGGUUGGGGGCCAGCUUCAGGUACCUCCUGAAGGUCUGACCCAGGUGAGGGGCCAGCCUCAGGUACCUCCUGAAGGCCUGGCCCAGGUGAGGGGCCGCCUCAGGUACCUCUUGAAGGCCUGGCCCAGGUGAGGAGCCAGCCUCAGGUACCUCCUGAAGGCCUGACCCGGGUAAGGGGCCAGCCUCAGGUACCUCCUAAAGGCCUGAUCCGGGUAAGGGGCCAGCCUCAGGUACCUCCUGAAGGCCUGACCCAGGUGAGGGGCCAGUCUCAGGUACCUCCUGAAGGCCUGGCCCAGGUGAGGGGCCAGCCUCAGGUACCUCUUGAAGGCCUGGCCCAGGUGAGGGGCCAGCCUCAGGUACCUCCUGAAAGCCUGACCCGGGUGAGGAGCCAGCCUCAGGUACCUCCUGAAGGCCUGACCCGGGUAAGGGGCCAGCCUCAGGUACCUCCUGAAGACCUAGUCCAAAUGAGGGUCCAGCCUCAGGAACCUCCUGAAGGCCUGACCCAGGUGAGGGGCCAGCCUCAGGUACCUCCUGAAGGCCUGGCCCGGGUGAGAGGCCAGCCUCAGGUACCUCUUGAAGGCCUGGCCCAGGUGAGGGGCCAGCCUCAGGUACCUCCUGAAAGCCUGACCCGGGUGAGGAGCCAGCCUCAGGUACCUCCUGAAGGCCUGACCCAGGUAAGGGGCCAGCCUCAGAUACCUCCUGAAGGCCUAGUCCAAAUGAGGGUCCAGCCUCAGGAACCUCCUGAAGGCCUGACCCAGGUGAGGGGCCAGCCUCAGGAACCUCCUGAAGGCCUGGCCCAGGUGAGGGACCAGCAUCAGGUACCUCCUGAAGACCUGACCCAGGUAAGGGGCCAGCCUCAGGUACCUCCUGAAGGCCUGGCCCUGGUGAGGAGCCAGCCUCAGGUACCUCCUGAAAGCCUGACCCGGGUGAGGGACUAGCCUCAGGUACCUCCUGAAGACCUGGCCCAGGUGAGGGGCCAGCCUCAGCCUCCUCUAUUCCAUAGGAGCUUGCUUCGAUCAUCAAGCCUUCCUCCUCUUAAUUCAGGCCCCAUAGGUCAAGUGACUGACAAAGUCACAGGUCAGGAACUGCAAGCCCCAGGGCUGGGUGUUUCCCAAAGGUGGGCUGAGCCUAAAUAGGCAGGAAGCAUCAGUCUGCUUAAAUGAGGGAGGGGCAGAUAUCACUAGUACAGCUGUUCCCCUAUGGUCAGGACGGGUGGCAGAGGCUGGUUAUACCUGGCUACCUUGGAAGCUACAAGAGACUCAAGUCAAAAGAGGCUGUGUCCGGGGACUGGAAUGUAGGCUCUGACUCUAGGGACACACUCAGGCAAGGAGAAGGUAGAGAUUACCUCGGCUUCAGUCACUACACCCUUCUUGAAGAGCCGAUCCAGCAGCUCCUCAGACGAGCACCUGGGUUUCGUUAAGGAAAAGCCGCACAUGACUCCCCGGGGCCUGUGCUCCCAGAAAGGUACCCAGACCUCCUGUGAACCACAUCUAGAGGUGCUGGUAUUCUGAUGAAGGAGAGUGGAAUGAUGACCCCUGGGUCCCAGAUGGGUCACAUCCCUGAGAAAGGGACCUUCAGAAAGACCCUCUGGUGAGUGGGGCUGUGAGCAGCAGCCUAAUGGAACUUGGACACUCUUGCAUCUCUGCACAGAGCCCACUCCAUGCAGCCCUUCACCGGGAUCCUAGAACAAAGCUUUAGGAGUGAAAGGGCAGCCAGAAUGUGAAAUAAGUAAGAGCCCCAAACACGCCCCCAUGGGUGUGACGGAGGCCAAGAGCAGUUGGAAUGGGAGCCCCCUCUCCAAUACCUAAGAGGUUACCUCUGAGAGGGGUCCCAGGCCAUCCUUGCUAAGAAUCAAGAUUGUGGCGGCCCCCAUCUGUGACCC